Molecule: ribosomal RNA, 466 nt
Filed under: uncultured bacterium
Lineage: Bacteria
Description: partial 16S ribosomal RNA
Rfam family: Bacterial small subunit ribosomal RNA
Source: RNAcentral
GACGAACGCUGGCGGCGUGCUUAACACAUGCAAGUCGAACGGAAAGGCCCUGCUUUUGUGGGGUGCUCGAGUGGCGAACGGGUGAGUAACACGUGAGUAACCUGCCCUUGACUUUGGGAUAACUUCAGGAAACUGGGGCUAAUACCGGAUAGGAGCUCCUGCUGCAUGGUGGGGGUUGGAAAGUUUCGGCGGUUGGGGAUGGACUCGCGGCUUAUCAGCUUGUUGGUGGGGUAGUGGCUUACCAAGGCUUUGACGGGUAGCCGGCCUGAGAGGGUGACCGGCCACAUUGGGACUGAGAUACGGCCGAGACUCCUACGGGAGGCAGCAGUGGGGAAUAUUGCACAAUGGGCGGAAGCCUGAUGCAGCAACGCCGCGUGCGGGAUGACGGCCUUCGGGUUGUAAACCGCUUUCGCCUGUGACGAAGCGUGAGUGACGGUAAGGGGUAAAGAAGCACCGGCUAACUACG